This is a non-coding RNA of Coturnix japonica (Japanese quail), 428 nucleotides long. NCBI's taxonomy places the organism in Eukaryota, Metazoa, Chordata, Aves, Galliformes, Phasianidae. The record is from RefSeq and is a predicted model, not a curated record.
CAUUUUCAGUCCUCUGCAGUUUUUGCUUGCAGUAGAAUUCUCAGAGGUUAGCAGUCCUGAAAGCAUUAAAUCCCUUUUUCUUUCUUCUUCCCUUUGUUACAAGCAGCUUUAAAUAUGUGUUGUUAUUCUGUCAAAGUGCAGGACAAGAUUCAGCUGGUGCAGGAUGUGUGGAGAAGACCUUUUUAAAGCCAGUGAAGAUCAUGUCAUCCUCAUCCCAGGACAAGAUGAUGCGGUACAUCCUGGGUAGCACUGAGUGUUGAGGAGAUCCUGCAGCAUGAGCUGGACUGGUAAAGUCUCCAGGCGUUACACUACCAGGGUGUUUGUGAAGGUGUGUGGCACGGUUCCCCAGCUGACGUUCAUAUUAGGACUAAAAAGGUGCUUCUGGGCACCAUGGAGUCUGAUGUGAAGGAGGAUUUUUUUGGCAGUAA